CUUGGUGAGCAUAGCUAUGGGGGUACACCUAGUUACAUUCCGAACCUAGAAGUUAAGCCCAUAUACGCUGAUGGUACUUGGCUGGAAGCGGCCUGGGAGAGUAUGGAU
RNAcentral lists this ribosomal RNA (108 nucleotides) under Fusobacterium canifelinum. The record is from RNAcentral. Lineage: Bacteria; Fusobacteriati; Fusobacteriota; Fusobacteriia; Fusobacteriales; Fusobacteriaceae.